AAACAUAGCAACCUCGAAUGUGGAAAUUUCCAGGAGUAGAGACAAUUUACUCCACAUCAGACCUCCGUACUCUGGACAGAGGAGGGUGUCCAAGACCGGGCAGCCACCGGGGUCUGAGCUAAAUUCCUUCAUCACCGAGAAUCUUAGACCUUAAAUCAAGACCUGAAAGGCUGCCUGUCUAGGGUUGCCACAUUUAGCAAAUAAACAUCGAAGACAUCUACUGUAUUUGAAUUUCAGAACCAGUAGACCAGAAGCCACCGGGAUCAAAGACAUGAUGCUGAGGGGACCAGAGUCUUACCCCUUUCCUUCUACUCCAAACAUUAUGGGAACAAGGACCACAAGCGCCAUCUCUGCCAAGACAUACAUGGAGGGUGCCUUUUCACUUUCUUGGUAGUGUUCUUUAAAGCACAAAAUUUUAAAGUUUUGCUGAAGUUUAAUUUACUUAUUUUUUUCUUGUGUCAUUUGUGCUUUUGGUGUCAUAUCUAAGACAGCACUGCCUAGUCCAAGGUCACAAAGAUUUACGCCUGUGCUUUCCUCUAAGAGUUUCACAGUUUUGGGUCUUAUAUUUAGGCCUAUUAUCCAUUGUGAGUUAAUCUUUUACAUACUACAGUAUGAGAUCAGAGUCCAAAUUCAUUCAUUUAUAUAUGGAUAUCCAGUCGUCUGAGCACCAUUUGUUGAAAAGACUAUUUUUUCCCCAUCAAACGGUCUUGGCACCCUUGCUGAAAAUCAGUUAGCCAAAAAUGAGAAGGUUUAUUUCUGGACACUCAGUUCUAGUCCAUUGAGCUAUGUGUCUAUUCAUAUGCCAUUACCACACUAUUUUCAUUACUAUAGUUUUUGACUAGAUUUUGAAAUUAGGAAGCAUGAU
This is a long non-coding RNA of Dama dama (fallow deer), 865 nucleotides long. RefSeq lists it as uncharacterized. The transcript is spliced from 3 exons. NCBI's taxonomy places the organism in Eukaryota, Metazoa, Chordata, Mammalia, Artiodactyla, Cervidae. The record is from RefSeq and is a predicted model, not a curated record.